RNAcentral lists this small RNA (89 nucleotides) under Flaviramulus basaltis. RNAcentral describes it as "Flavo-1 RNA". It matches the Rfam family "Flavo-1 RNA". The record is from Rfam by way of RNAcentral. Lineage: Bacteria; Pseudomonadati; Bacteroidota; Flavobacteriia; Flavobacteriales; Flavobacteriaceae.
UUAUAGUUGCUACCUGCGUUAGGGAUAGAAAAGGAAAUCCUUUUUGAAAGGCACGAGCAAAAAGAUUGUAUUGGAUAGCCCGACCCUUU